Molecule: long non-coding RNA, 3401 nt
Filed under: Homo sapiens (human)
Lineage: Eukaryota; Metazoa; Chordata; Mammalia; Primates; Hominidae
Description: LIFR antisense RNA 1, transcript variant 2 (LIFR-AS1)
Source: RNAcentral
GCGCGCGGGUGCUCCAAGGAGUCGGAGGAACGCGGCCGCGCGACGGGCCCCGGACGCCGAGGGUGGUGCUUCCUCCGAGCCUCCGGUGGUGAGGCCGCUCUCAGAAGGUCAUGGAAGCGCAGGGGAGAGCGAGGCGGCCGAGCCCAGGCAAAUCCUCGAGAAAGGCCGAGUGCGCGACGGCUCUGCGGGGAGGACCGCGCCUCCCCGAAUGCGGCCGCUGCUGCCGCUGCAAACAGUGCCUUGAGGAGAGGAAAGCGGGGAACCGUGUUUUCGCCGCCUCUGUAACCACUGCACACAAGAAAACCAGCUUCUGGGAGAGGGGGAUGAUUGUUGGGACUUUGCGAAUUACCUAAACAGCCCAGGGCCGAGGCGCCGCCGCUCGCGUCCUGGUCCUCCUGCCGGGUGUGGGGCUCCCCUGCCCGAGAUGGCCAGCGGGCGCGCCGAGAGUAUCCUGGAGCCAUCUAGUCUUGCCUCGGAGGCGGGGUGGGCUUAUUUGUGCGGAGAAGAAACGGAUCUCUUAAUGGGGUGAGAUUUUUCCUCCGUACAUUGUUCCCAUUUCCGCAGUUUCACUUGGCCUCGGUUUUCUAGCAGAGUAAUCACCAAAUGAAAUUAGCUGGAGAGCGUUUGAUGGCGCAGAAUCACGGUCUGAAGAUGUUUACGCUGUAUGCCGGACGCGUUUGAUGGUGUUCUCUUCGGCACAAUUAAUUUUGCAAAGUUCAGAAAUGUGCCAGACAGAGCCCCUGGCACGCAGUCAGGACUCUACAGACACACCUUGAGUAGGAAACAGGCUUGUUUGUUUCAUCUGUGAUUUAUGUGAUGCACCAGCACCAAGGCCAACGUGUUUUUUAAAGACCUUUCGAUGAAACUCCAAAGCAAUUUAUAAAUUGGCAAAAUGAAGCUUGUUUUGUAAAAUAACUCUUCCUUGUUGAUCAUGUAAUUAAAUGGGCAACAAAACACCUGAAAGGACAUUUACUGAAAAGUAGACUCCCAAAACAAAAAUAUGUAUUUCACAGCUAGAUACGGUCGCUAUUAGCGUCCUAAUGGCCAACUCCAUCCAUGUGCGUAUUUUGAACACUAAAAACGCCUCCUGUUACCCCUAAGACCUUGUUUGGAUAACAUUUUUCUAUUAUAAGUACUCGAAACCAACCCCAUUUAAGAUGUUUACCCUUAUUCUUGAGUCCUUGAUGGUUUGGGAAAUUUAUCAUUAUUCAUAUUGCACAAUCCUGUCACUGUCUUUUCCAUUAGGCACAGUGCCUAAGGUCCACAAUAUUUUUAGAGGCCCACAAAAAAUAUUUUAAUUUCUUUUCAAAUCAGAAGGAAAAAAAAUUUAGGUUUAAGAAAGUAUUUUAAUAUAUAUUAAUAUAUUUGUUUUUGUGCUAAUACAAUCUUAAAAUGUAUGUAUAUAUGUGUGUGUGUAUAUGUAUAUAUAUUUUAAUGGAGUAAGGGGCUCAACGAAGGCAAAAAGGCCUAGAGCCCAAGAAAAACAUGAUGUGGCCCUGUUGCCUGGGGUUGAAAAAUCCCAUUCCAUGAGAAGAAUUUAGUUUUAAGAAUAUUACAUAAAAUGCUCAUUUCUGUGGCCUUGCUAUAAUAGAAAGAUGGAGAUUCAGAGUAGUGAUAAUGGCUAACAUCCACCUGAUACACACCAUGUGUCCAUUACCUCUUAAUCCUCACAGCACACCUGUGAAAUAGGUACUAUUCUCACACUUAGGGGGUAAUGCAGGUUUUGUGGGGCCUGCAAUUUAUGCAAUUUGGGUGGUCCUCUUAAAGAAAAAGCAAAUACUGUGUAUUAGUCCGUUCUCACACUGCUAUAAAGAACUGCGCGAGACUGGGUAAUUUAUAAAGGAAAGAGGUUUAAUUGACUCACAGUUCCACAUGGCUGGGGAGACCUCAGGAAACUUAACAAUCGUGGUGGAAGGAGAAGCAAGUACCUUCUUCACAAGGAAGCGGAAAGAAUUGUGAGCGGAGGAACUUGCCAAACACAAAACCGUCAGAUCGCGUGAGAAUUCAGUUACUAUCACGAGAACAACACGGGAAAACUGUCCCCAUAAUCAAGUCAUUUCUCUCCCUAACAAGUGAGGAUUACAAUUCAAGAUGAGGUUUGGGUAGGAACACAAAGCCUGACCCUAUCCCACAGCAUGUCCAGGCUGCCCUAGCACCACCCAAUAGAAGGGAAAAUGGCAGAGGGAAAGUCCUAGUGGAAAGAGACCUCAGUCUCAGCUAAUUGUGGUGACAAUAUAUUGCUUUUGCAAAUUGUACAUAAACAUAUGACCAGGUGAAUGUAUCGCCAAGGCUCCUGCCAAGGCCUGGGAUGGAGGCCUAGAGAAGAUGCCCGAAAGUUUAUGCUGUGUGAGCUUCACAGAAGACCUGCCUUCCAUGUAUACCCAUUUUACAGGUGUCUGUGCGGUGCAGAAACUGUACAACUGUAUACAGUGACCAUUUCUACUCUGGGUCUCUAAACAAGGGCUGGUAUCGUUACAGAGACUGAAGACUGAGGAAGACCAUCUCUGUAGGAUGCCAAGGAUUGACUGGAGAAAGUCUGGAAUUUUCCACAAAUGAGUUCAUUUAUAAAGAGAAAGGCAAGCUUUGAUGACAACACCUUCACAAAAUGGAGGCCUUUGAAAACAUUGGUCUGGAUUGAGGAGUUGGAGAAGAAUGAAGUGCACAUCAACCAAACAGAAGAGAAGCAAUUUGGAGGAGGAAAAAAUCAGUUCUUCAUGAAAGGAUCACAUUGAUCUUGGUUCAUCCCAGUGCCUCCUCUGCAGACAAUCUUGUCCUCAGUCUUUCAAUUGUUUUCUUCCCAUGCCCUGACAAGCGAACCAGAUCAGGAAUUUAGGAGCAGCUUACCUAAUGGCACCUGGUUACCUAAUGGCACCCUCAACAGCUUACCUAAUGGCACCCUCACUUGGUUCUGGCUCCGGGCCUCUCACAAGAUUGUACACAUGAUGAUGGCCAAGUUUGCAGUCAUCUGAAGUCUUGACUGGAGCUGGAGACUACAUUUCCAAGAUGGCUCACUCAUAUUGCUAAAGCAAUUACAGCUCACUGCAGCCUUGACCUCCCAGGCUCAAGCAAGCCUCCUGCCUCAGCCUCCCAAGUAGUUGGGACUACAGAUCUUUUUCAAUGCAGAAGCUUAAAGAAGACACUAAAAAAUGUGUUUAAGAUCUCUUUAAACUGAAGUCUUCUGAACAAGUGAAGCAGGUACAUGCCUGGGAAGACAGCCAGGGAACAGGCAGCUACAUCAACCAAGAAGGCUGACAACAUGUUCCAUCCCACAACUAUGUGGUAAUUGCAAAGAUGAGAAAAUAGCAGAGAUCCUCCAGUCAGCCCUGGAAUGAGUUUAGGGGAGAGAAAUCAUGCAAUCUCUUAGUAACAUGGCAUCUGUAAAUUCAAAAAAAAAAAAAAAA